AUACAUGCAAGUCGAGCGAACUGAUUAGAAGCUUGCUUCUAUGACGUUAGCGGCGGACGGGUGAGUAACACGUGGGCAACCUGCCUGUAAGACUGGGAUAACUCCGGGAAACCGGAGCUAAUACCGGAUAACAUUUUCUCUUGCAUAAGAGAAAAUUGAAAGAUGGUUUCGGCUAUCACUUACAGAUGGGCCCGCGGUGCAUUAGCUAGUUGGUGAGGUAACGGCUCACCAAGGCAACGAUGCAUAGCCGACCUGAGAGGGUGAUCGGCCACACUGGGACUGAGACACGGCCCAGACUCCUACGGGAGGCAGCAGUAGGGAAUCUUCCGCAAUGGACGAAAGUCUGACGGAGCAACGCCGCGUGAGUGAUGAAGGCUUUCGGGUCGUAAAACUCUGUUGUUAGGGAAGAACAAGUACAAGAGUAACUGCUUGUACCUUGACGGUACCUAACCAGAAAGCCACGGCUAACUACGUGCCAGCAGCCGCGGUAAUACGUAGGUGGCAAGCGUUAUCCGGAAUUAUUGGGCGUAAAGCGCGCGCAGGCGGUUUCUUAAGUCUGGAUGUGAAAGCCCACGGCUCAACCGUGGAGGGUCAUUGGAAACUGGGGAACUUGAGUGCAGAAGAGAAAAGCGGAAUUCCACGUGUAGCGGUGAAAUGCGUAGAGAUGUGGAGGAACACCAGUGGCGAAGGCGGCUUUUUGGUCUGUAACUGACGCUGAGGCGCGAAAGCGUGGGGGAGCAAAACAGGAUUAGAUACCCUGGUAGUCCACGCCGUAAACGAUGAGUGCUAAGUGUUAGAGGGUUUCCGCCCUUUAAGUGCUGCAGCUAACGCAUUAAGCACUCCGCCUGGGGAGUACGGUCGCAAGACUGAAACUCAAGGGAAUUGACGGGGGCCGCCCAAGCGGUGGAGCAUGUGGUUUAUUCGAAGCAACGCGAAGAACCUUACCAGGUCUUGCCAUCCUCUGACACCUCUAGAGAUAGAGCGCUCUCCUCGGGGGACAGAGUGACAGGUGGUGCAUGGUUGUCGUCAGCUCGUGUCGUGAGAUGUUGGGUUAAGUCCCGCAACGAGCGCAACCCUUGAUCUUAGUUGCCAGCAUUUAGUUGGGCACUCUAAGGUGACUGCCGGUGACAAACCGGAGGAAGGUGGGGAUGACGUCAAAUCAUCAUGCCCCUUAUGACCUGGGCUACACACGUGCUACAAUGGAUGGUACAAAGGGCUGCAAGACCGCGAGGUCAAGCCAAUCCCAUAAAACCAUUCUCAGUUCGGAUUGUAGGCUGCAACUCGCCUACAUGAAGCUGGAAUCGCUAGUAAUCGCGGAUCAGCAUGCCGCGGAGAAUACGUUCCCGGGCCUUGUACACACCGCCCGUCACACCACGAGAGUUUGUAACACCCGAAGUCGGUGGGGUAACCUUUAUGGACCCAGCCGCCUA
Molecule: ribosomal RNA, 1430 nt
Filed under: Bacillus sp. 7-8
Lineage: Bacteria; Bacillati; Bacillota; Bacilli; Caryophanales; Bacillaceae
Description: 16S ribosomal RNA
Rfam family: Bacterial small subunit ribosomal RNA
Source: RNAcentral